This is a long non-coding RNA of Octopus sinensis (East Asian common octopus), 133 nucleotides long. RefSeq lists it as uncharacterized. Lineage: Eukaryota; Metazoa; Mollusca; Cephalopoda; Octopoda; Octopodidae. The record is from RefSeq and is a predicted model, not a curated record. The transcript has 4 exons.
AGUUCAGACAUGUGCUGUUCCGAACUCCUGCAAUUCGCAUCAGUUCACGCGGUUAGCCGCGCUCUUCAUCUACAGACGAGCCAAGUGAUCCCCAUCCAGGGUUUCUAUAUUUACUACUACUACUGACGAUGAC